UGAAAACUUAAAAUUUAAAAGACUUGACGGUACUUCACACCAACCUAGAGGAGCCUGUCUAAUAACCGAUAAUCCACGAUUAACCCAACCCCUUCUAGCCCAACAGUCUAUAUACCGCCGUCGCCAGCUUACCUUGUGAAAGAAACAAAGUAAGCCCAACAGCACCACACUAACACGACAGGUCGAGGUGUAACUAAUGAAGGGGCUAAGAUGGGCUACAUUUCUUAAACUAAGACAAACGAACAGACUAUGAAACUAGAAACCGAAGGAGGAUUUAGCAGUAGGCUAAGAGCAAAAUACUUAGCCGAAGUAAACGCAAUGAAGUGCGC
Molecule: ribosomal RNA, 329 nt
Filed under: Langaha madagascariensis
Lineage: Eukaryota; Metazoa; Chordata; Lepidosauria; Squamata
Description: partial 12S ribosomal RNA
Source: RNAcentral